Dendronephthya gigantea is the source of this 804-nucleotide long non-coding RNA. RefSeq lists it as uncharacterized. NCBI's taxonomy places the organism in Eukaryota, Metazoa, Cnidaria, Anthozoa, Malacalcyonacea, Nephtheidae. The transcript is spliced from 4 exons. The record is from RefSeq and is a predicted model, not a curated record.
GGAUAAGGUGCUUAAACUGGUGUGGCGAAAUCGAUGAGUAAAACGUCUGAAAAAACCAUUCAACAUCAGAUGCAAGAAACCAGAAUUGCGCAAUGUUCGAUCCAUGAUCAUAUUUUGAAAUUGUUUUCGUUCACGUGCGCCAGAAAUGGCUGAACCCACUGUUAAUGAUUUUACGGACGUGAAGAGAAAUGCCAGCUGGUCUGGUGUCUGAGCAUAACUGCAUGCAUAGAAAAAUCACCAAGUUGGGAUGACGCUUACGUUCUGGCGAAGUGUGCAGGUCACAUACCACAGCAAUAAAAUAGGCUCGAUAUUGUUCGAGGUAUACAAUUCAGUCCAACAAGAGCUUUUGUUUAGAAACGCCGGUGAAGAAAAGAAGAACUUUAUACUUCAUAACAAAAUAAUGUUGUAGCCUCAGGAACCAGGCCGCAAUCCAGGAGGAUCUUCAUCGAAUACAUACUUACGAUAAACCUGUAAUCCUUCAAAAACAGUAAACAUUUUGAGAUUGUUUAAUUUACUUUUAAUCCGACUGUGCCAAUACAUCGUUCAGGCCAAAACCAACUUCUAAUAAUUAUACGUAAGAUUGAAGAUGAGGCACAGUCCGUUCUGCGCAUCGGUUCUGCUCAUAAGGAUAGGACGGGGCAAUUGAUUAAGUUCCCCACAUUUUUUAGAAAGUAACUCGAUUUCAUAUACAUUUUCGAUGUAUACCGGACCAGAAAUCGUGUUAGACAUUCUGACGGUCAUCAUAUUUUAAAAAUAUUCAAAAGAAUUUGUACAUUACGGACUUCAAUAAAUAUGAUGCAACCU